AAAAACAUAUUUAAUAGAUUAUUAUUAUUAAUUUAUCCUGCUCAAUGAUAAUUUAAAUAGCCGCAGUUCAUACUGUGCUAAGGUAGCAUAAUCAUUUGUCUUAUAAUUAAAGACUAGAAUGAAAGGAGAUACAUUUAAGUUAUUAUAACAUUAUCUUAUUUUAAAUUUAUUUUAAAUGUAAAAAAACAUUUAUUCUUCAGAAAGACGAAAAGACCCUAUUGAACUUUACUUUAGUUUAACUGGGGUAGUUAAUUAAUUAAAAUUUUAAUUUUAAUUAAAUUUACAAUGACCUGAUCUAAUCAAUUUUAUAAUUAAGUUACCAUAGGGAUAACAGCGCAAUAAUUUUUAUUAGCUCUUAUAUAAAAAAAUGAUUACGACCUCGAUGUUGAAUUAAUUAAUCUGAUAAAUGCAACCAUUUAAAUAGAGAGUCUGUUCGACUUUUAAAUAAUUACAUGAUCU
Molecule: ribosomal RNA, 459 nt
Filed under: Delena melanochelis
Lineage: Eukaryota; Metazoa; Arthropoda; Arachnida; Araneae; Sparassidae
Description: partial 16S ribosomal RNA
Rfam family: Bacterial large subunit ribosomal RNA
Source: RNAcentral